RNAcentral lists this ribosomal RNA (120 nucleotides) under uncultured bacterium. RNAcentral describes it as "partial 16S ribosomal RNA". It matches the Rfam family "Bacterial small subunit ribosomal RNA", at positions 796 to 915 of the family's 1533-position model. The record is from RNAcentral.
CACGCCGUAAACGAUGAAUACUAGGUGUCGGGUGGCAAAGCCAUUCGGUGCCGCAGCAAACGCAAUAAGUAUUCCACCUGGGGAGUACGUUCGCAAGAAUGAAACUCAAAGGAAUUGACG